Molecule: ribosomal RNA, 860 nt
Filed under: uncultured bacterium
Lineage: Bacteria
Description: bacterial SSU rRNA
Rfam family: Bacterial small subunit ribosomal RNA
Source: RNAcentral
AGAGGACUUGUGGAAUCUAGCGGCGAACGGUCGAGUAACACGUAAGCAACCUGCCCCAAAGACUGGGAUAACAACCCGAAAGGGUUGCUAAUACCGGAUGUGCAUACCGAAUCACAUGUUUUGGUAUGUAAAAAGAGCAAUCUGCUUUGGGAUGGGCUUGCGGCCUAUCAGCUAGUUGGUGGGGUAAAGGCCUACCAAGGCGACGACGGGUAGCUGGUCUGAGAGGAUGACCAGCCGGAUUGGGACUGAGAUACGGCCCAGACUCCUACGGGAGGCAGCAAUUAGGAAUCUUGCGCAAUGGGGGAAACCCUGACGCAGCGACGCCGCGUGAGUGAUGAAGUCUUUCGGGAUGUAAAGCUCUGUCCUACGGGGAAGAAAAAAAUGACGGUACCCGUAGAGAAAGCCCCGGCUAACUACGUGCCAGCAGCCGCGGUAAUACGUAGGGGGCGAGCGUUGUCCGAAUUUACUGGGCGUAAAGCGCGUGUAGGCGGCCUUUUAAGUCAGGUGUGAAAUCUUGCGGCUCAACCGCAAAACGGCAUUUGAAACUGGAAGGCUUGAGUAUGGGAGAGGAGAGUGGAAUUCCUGGUGUAGCGGUGAAAUGCGUAGAUAUCAGGAGGAACACCCGUGGCGAAGGCGGCUCCCUGGCCCAUUACUGACGCUGAGACGCGAAAGCUAGGGGAGCGAACGGGAUUAGAUACCCCGGUAGUCCUAGCCGUAAACGAUGGACACUAGGUGUUAGUGGUAUCGACCCCACUAGUGCCGAAGCUAACGCAUUAAGUGUCCCGCCUGGGGAGUACGGCCGCAAGGUUGAAACUCAAAGGAAUUGACGGGGGCCCGCACAAGCGGUGGAGCAUGCGGAU